ACACAUUUGCUUACUUUUUCAUAAUCGAUUAUUAUUCGAUGAUUAAAGUCAAAUCCUUUUUUGGAGCUUCAGUUUUAAGCAAGGCCUUAAAUAGUGUUUAUAGUAACUCAUUCUGUCUUUUCUAUGGGCUACACCUUGACCUGAUUUGGAGGGAGGCUGUUGAGAAUAUGUUUUAAAGAAGUAUUCUUGAAACGGCGGUAUAUAGACUUUAUUAGGAAAGUGAGAUUUAGCGGGGAUUGUCGAUUAGGGAACAAGUUCCUCUGAUUAGGGCUAAUGCCGCCAAACUACAUUGGUUUUUCUGGGGGGUACUACCUAAUGAGAGAGGUA
RNAcentral lists this ribosomal RNA (327 nucleotides) under Ariadna sp. 7 MS-2022b. Its description in RNAcentral is "partial small subunit ribosomal RNA". Lineage: Eukaryota; Metazoa; Arthropoda; Arachnida; Araneae; Segestriidae. The record is from RNAcentral.